RNAcentral lists this ribosomal RNA (350 nucleotides) under uncultured bacterium. Its description in RNAcentral is "bacterial SSU rRNA". It matches the Rfam family "Bacterial small subunit ribosomal RNA", at positions 1 to 334 of the family's 1533-position model. The record is from RNAcentral.
CGAUCACGUUCAGAGUUUGAUCCUGGCUCAGGAUGAACGCUGGCGGCGUGCCUAACACAUGCAAGUCGAACGGGACUUAUUGAGACGAUUUCGGUCUGAUCAUUAAGUUUAGUGGCGGACGGGUGAGUAACGCGUGGACAACCUGCCUUUCACAGGGGGAUAGCAGCUGGAAACGGCUGGUAAUACCGCAUACGCUCGUGUCACCGCAUGGUGAUAUGAGGAAAGAUUUAUCGGUGAAAGAUGGAUCCGCGUCUGAUUAGCCAGUUGGCGGGGUAACGGCCCACCAAAGCGACGAUCAGUAGCCGGCCUGAGAGGGCGGACGGCCACAUUGGGACUGAGACGCGGCCCAG